AGAUUAAGCCAUGCAUGUCUCAGUACAAGCUAAAUUAAAGUGAAACCGCGAAUGGCUCAUUACAACAGCCGUUGUUCCCUUGAGACAUACUUGGAUAACUGUGGCAAUUCUAGAGCUAAUACACGCACUGAAGCCUCGACCUUACGGGAGAGGUGCAUUUAUUAGAACAAAACCAAUCGGGGCAAUUUGGUGAAUCUGAAUAACCCAGCUGAUCGCACGGUCUUUGCACCGGCGACGCAUCUUUCUCUGCCUUAUCAACUUUCGAUGGUAGUUUAUGUGACUACCAUGGUUAUAACGGGUAACGGAGAAUAAGGGUUCGACUCCGGAGAGGGAGCCUGAGAAACGGCUACCACAUCCAAGGAAG
Molecule: ribosomal RNA, 364 nt
Filed under: Terschellingia elegans
Lineage: Eukaryota; Metazoa; Nematoda; Chromadorea; Monhysterida; Linhomoeidae
Description: SSU rRNA
Rfam family: Eukaryotic small subunit ribosomal RNA
Source: RNAcentral